This is a long non-coding RNA of Homarus americanus (American lobster), 881 nucleotides long. RefSeq lists it as uncharacterized. The transcript is spliced from 2 exons. NCBI's taxonomy places the organism in Eukaryota, Metazoa, Arthropoda, Malacostraca, Decapoda, Nephropidae. The record is from RefSeq and is a predicted model, not a curated record.
GCGGUCUGGCUCGACUCCGUUGCUGCUGCCGCUCCGUGGCGACUGCCGACACUCGUCUGGGGUCUGAGCAGUCUGGCAGUGUUAUCUGAACAGUGGUGUUGAGCGGUUGUAUAUCAGGGAGGCGCCGAGUCUACCCUGCCAUGUGACUGAUAAGGUGUUGAAGUUCCGGAAGAGUGUUGAUAUAUUUCCAUCACGGACCUUCAGCAUUCACUCCACAAUACCCCCAGUCAACGUAUGACUUCCUCCUCAUCUCCGCUUCUUCCUGGUAAACCAUGGCGAGGAACAGAGGAAGCUCACCAGACGAAGAGUGAGGGAAGUUGUCGUCUGGGAUGUGAGGUGGGGUGCUGGGUGUUGCUCCUGCUGGUGCCGGAGCUUCAACGGUUGUAAUGUGCCUGUGUAUGUGUGUGCUUGAAAAUUAACGAGAUUUAUGAGAGAUGUGUCUGAACUGAGCUACAGCUGCUGACUCCUAUAUCGACUCUCCCACACAUGUUCCGGUCAUCAGUUUCAAACAGUCAUUUAUAACUGUAGCAAGGGAAGAGAUAUUGAGUAGCGGUAGUGUGUGUUGUGUGGUACGCCCCUUGAAGAUGAUUUUUUUGUUGACUCUUGUCGGGUCGGGGAUAUGCGUGGAUUUGGGAGGUGUUGUGUCAGUUUGAGACCCCCAGAGGCACAGUACGCCAAGAGAUAUGUACCAGGGGUGAACUCCAACAUGGGAUCGCAAUCCUAGUAUACUGAUGCCGACGAUGGUGAUUAUGUGCAUUGAACCUCGGUGGAAGUGAAUUAACAGUGAUAGUAAUACGAAAUACAGAUAACAGCAUCAUCAGAUAAAAAAAAAACAUAUCAGUGUAAGUAAAACAUAAUACCAAAAGUCUAAAGAAAAUCCU